This 460-nucleotide ribosomal RNA is filed under the name uncultured bacterium. RNAcentral's name for it is "partial 16S ribosomal RNA". It matches the Rfam family "Bacterial small subunit ribosomal RNA", at positions 338 to 795 of the family's 1533-position model. The record is from RNAcentral.
CCUACGGGAGGCUGCAGUGAGGAAUAUUGGUCAAUGGGCGUAAGCCUGAACCAGCCAAGUCGCGUGAGGGAUGAAGGUUCUAUGGAUCGUAAACCUCUUUUAUAAGGGAAUAAAGUGCGGGACGUGUCCCGUUUUGUAUGUACCUUAUGAAUAAGGAUCGCCUAACUCCGUGCCAGCAGCCGCGGUAAUACGGAGGAUCCGAGCGUUAUCCGGAUUUAUUGGGUUUAAAGGGUGCGUAGGCGGCCUUUUAAGUCAGCGGUGAAAGUCUGUGGCUCAACCAGAGAAUUGCGGUUGAUACUGGGAGGCUGGAGUGUGUGUGAGGAAGGCGGAAUGCGUGGUGUAGCGGUGAAAUGCUUAGAUAUCACGCAGAACCCCGAUUGCGAAGGCAGCCGGCCAAGCCAUGACUGACGCUGAUGCACGAAAGCGUGGGGAUCAAACAGGAUUAGAUACCCCUGUAGUC